Maylandia zebra (zebra mbuna) is the source of this 265-nucleotide long non-coding RNA. RefSeq lists it as uncharacterized. The record is from RefSeq and is a predicted model, not a curated record. Lineage: Eukaryota; Metazoa; Chordata; Actinopteri; Cichliformes; Cichlidae.
AGAGGAUCCCGAGCUGGAGGAAGAGCUUCAGGCUGCUGACGAACUCCUUCAAGAUAUGCAGAAUGAUGCACAGAGUGAACCUCAGCCAAGACCAGUGCGCUGGAAAACACGUGACAGACAGGGAGCUUUUAUUCCUCAAAGACCAUCAACCAGUCGAAGUACUAGUUGCAUGCCACGUGUGUCCAGAGAGCAGCAUCAAUGUCCACGUGAAGAACCUGGUUAUGUUGCCAGUGUCAACCCAACAAAAGGUACUUUACCUUCUUGU